This 477-nucleotide ribosomal RNA is filed under the name uncultured bacterium. RNAcentral describes it as "bacterial SSU rRNA". It matches the Rfam family "Bacterial small subunit ribosomal RNA", at positions 30 to 502 of the family's 1533-position model. The record is from RNAcentral.
AUUGAACGCUGGCGGCAUGCCUUACACAUGCAAGUCGAACGGUAACAGGUCUUCGGAUGCUGACGAGUGGCGAACGGGUGAGUAAUACAUCGGAACGUGCCCGAUCGUGGGGGAUAACGAAGCGAAAGCUUUGCUAAUACCGCAUAAGAUCUACGGAUGAAAGCAGGGGACCGCAAGGCCUUGCGCGAACGGAGCGGCUGAUGGCAGAUUAGGUAGUUGGUGGGAUAAAAGCUUACCAAGCCGACGAUCUGUAGCUGGUCUGAGAGGACGACCAGCCACACUGGGACUGAGACACGGCCCAGACUCCUACGGGAGGCAGCAGUGGGGAAUUUUGGACAAUGGGCGAAAGCCUGAUCCAGCCAUGCCGCGUGCAGGAUGAAGGCCUUCGGUUGUAAAGCUCUUUCGGCUGGGAAGAAAUACGCACAGGCUAAUACUCUGUGUGGAUGACGGUACCAGCACAAGAAGCACCGGCUAACU